RNAcentral lists this transfer RNA (84 nucleotides) under marine sediment metagenome. It matches the Rfam family "tRNA". From Rfam's summary of the family: Transfer RNA (tRNA) molecules are approximately 80 nucleotides in length. Their secondary structure includes four short double-helical elements and three loops (D, anti-codon, and T loops). The record is from RNAcentral.
GCGGAAGUGGCGGAAUUGGUAGACGCGCUAGGUUCAGGGUCUAGUGGCUAACGAGCUGUGGGAGUUCGAGUCUCCCCUUCCGCA